This 301-nucleotide ribosomal RNA is filed under the name uncultured bacterium. RNAcentral describes it as "partial 16S ribosomal RNA". It matches the Rfam family "Bacterial small subunit ribosomal RNA", at positions 509 to 807 of the family's 1533-position model. The record is from RNAcentral.
CAGUCGCCACGGUAACACGUAGGUGGCAAGCGUUGUCCGGAAUUAUUGGGCGUAAAGGGCUCGCAGGCGGUUUCUUAAGUCUGAUGUGAAAGCCCCCGGCUCAACCGGGGAGGGUCAUUGGAAACUGGGAAACUUGAGUGCAGAAGAGGAGAGUGGAAUUCCACGUGUAGCGGUGAAAUGCGUAGAGAUGUGGAGGAACACCAGUGGCGAAGGCGACUCUCUGGUCUGUAACUGACGCUGAGGAGCGAAAGCGUGGGGAGCGAACAGGAUUAGAUACCCCUGUAGUCCCUGUCUCUUAUAC